GAUGAACAAAACUAUUUCUAAGAAUGGAAUAUAUAAAAAUGGUUAAAGCAUAGUCCCUUGUGAAAAAGUAUCUGAGAAACAAAACUACUUACUGUGAAAAAUUACCCAGGGCUUUCUCAACAAGGUCCUUAGCUUGGGUCUGUCUCAGAAUACAUUUCUUUCUCACUACGUUUACUGGGUUCAAUAGUGUCCCACCAAAAUUCACAUCCAGCCGGAACCUGCAAAUGUGACUAAAAAUUCUGGUCACAAAUUCCAAUGUGUGUGUGGUGGGGGUGGGGGGAUUUCCUCACACCUCAUCACCAAGUAAUUCCCUGGACACCAGGAAUUCUACUCACUGCUGCUGAUCCUGCCUCAUUUCCCGUCUUCAUCUUUCCCUGCUUCCACAUGGUGGGAUCUGUCAGUUCCCCAGCUAUCCAUCUCAAAACCAUACCUGACCAGUUUGAAGGCAGCAUGAGCUCUAUAAUUUGCUACAAUUCAUAAACAGAAGAGAGAAGGGGAGGGAAAGCCAGUGUAUAAUAUGCAAGGCAUUAAGUGGUUCCACUGAUGGCCUGUGAAUAUACUACGCGUGAGUAUGAAAAGCCUUUGACUGCACUUCAGUGAGCUGAUAGACGGGCUUGAAGGAAUGAGAAUGCAUCCUCACAGCUUUAGGGAGCGAGUAGGUGCCAUCAAAUAAGAGUCGAAGAUGGUAACUUUCUGAAGAAAAUCUACCUUUCAAGAUAUGUUCAGAUAAAUAAUUCAUUGAGCAAGGCUGUCUAAAAUUGGGAGUUCUCUGCAAAGUGUUGAGAAAGCUUUUUAAAAAAUAAAGUCAG
This 809-nucleotide long non-coding RNA is filed under the name Equus caballus (horse). RNAcentral describes it as "lncRNA (ENSECAG00000041062.2)". Lineage: Eukaryota; Metazoa; Chordata; Mammalia; Perissodactyla; Equidae. The record is from RNAcentral.